GUGAGGAAUUUUCCGCAAUGGGCGAAAGCCUGACGGAGCAAUGCCGCGUGAAGGAUGAAGGCCUAUGGGUUGUAAACUUCUUUUCUCAGAAAAGAAUUAUGACGGUAUCUGAGGAAUAAGCAUCGGCUAACUCUGUGCCAGCAGCCGCGGUAAGACAGAGGAUGCAAGCGUUAUCCGGAAUGAUUGGGCGUAAAGCGUCUGUAGGUUGUUUAAAAAGUAUUCUGUCAAAGAUUAGGGCUUAACCCUAGAUAGGCAGAAUAAACUUUUAAGCUAGAGUUUGGUAGAGGCAGAGGGAAUUCCCGGUGGAGCGGUGAAAUGCGUAGAUAUCAGGAGGAACACCAAAGGCGAAGGCACUCUGCUGGGCCAAUACUAACACUGAGAGACGAAAGCGAGGGGAGCAAAUGGGAUUAGAUACCCUAGUAGUCC
RNAcentral lists this ribosomal RNA (426 nucleotides) under uncultured bacterium. RNAcentral describes it as "partial 16S ribosomal RNA". It matches the Rfam family "Bacterial small subunit ribosomal RNA", at positions 354 to 796 of the family's 1533-position model. The record is from RNAcentral.